GGCACAGUGGUGCAGUGGGUAGCACUGUUGCCUCACAGCAAGGAGGUCCUUGGUUAAAAUCCUGGCGGGGGCC
Molecule: transfer RNA, 73 nt
Filed under: Anguilla anguilla (European eel)
Lineage: Eukaryota; Metazoa; Chordata; Actinopteri; Anguilliformes; Anguillidae
Description: tRNA-OTHER
Source: RNAcentral